Molecule: small RNA, 1128 nt
Filed under: uncultured Nitrospira sp.
Lineage: Bacteria; Pseudomonadati; Nitrospirota; Nitrospiria; Nitrospirales; Nitrospiraceae
Description: bacterial SSU rRNA
Rfam family: Bacterial small subunit ribosomal RNA (bases 1-490)
Source: RNAcentral
AUGGCUGUCGUCAGCUCGUGCCGUGAGGUGUUGGGUUAAGUCCCGCAACGAGCGCAACCCCUGUCUUCAGUUACUAACGGGUCAAGCCGAGAACUCUGGGGAGACUGCCCAGGAGAACGGGGAGGAAGGUGGGGAUGACGUCAAGUCAGCAUGGCCUUUAUGCCUGGGGCUACACACGUGCUACAAUGGCCGGUACAAAGGGCUGCAAACCCGCAAGGGGGAGCGAAUCUCAAAAAACCGGCCUCAGUUCAGAUCGAGGUCUGCAACUCGACCUCGUGAAGGCGGAAUCGCUAGUAAUCCCGGAUCAGCACGCCGGGGUGAAUACGUUCCCGGGCCUUGUACACACCGCCCGUCACACCACGAAAGUUUGUUGUACCUGAAGUCGUUGGCGCCAACCGCAAGGAGGCAGACGCCCACGGUAUGACCGAUGAUUGGGGUGAAGUCGUAACAAGGUAGCCGUAGGGGAACCUGCGGCUGGAUCACCUCCUUUCUAAGGAGUAACUACUCCAAAGAAAAUCAUGGACUAAGGGCCACCUCUUCAAUACAUUUCGCACCAGACACGAGUGAGGGUUCCGGCGAUGAGUCCUCGCUACGCGAGAGCUCAGUCGCCAUGAUCAACGGGCCCUGGAAGCUUCAUGGCUCAGCUGGGCCUGUAGCUCAGUUGGUUAGAGCACGCGCUUGAUAAGCGCGGGGUCGAUAGUUCAACUCUAUCCAGGCCCACCACUGAGUUGUGAUCACGGGGUUCCCGAUGGGUGGAUUCGCAUGGACACUUAUUCGUACACGGUGCGGGGCUGUAGCUCAGUUGGGAGAGCACCUGCUUUGCAAGCAGGGGGUCGCUGGUUCGAUUCCAGUCAGCUCCACCAAGUGAAGACUAUGUUCGUGCUCAAUAUUCUCUAGUCAGUUGAUGCUGACGGUACAUGCCGUCAGUCAUGUUCUUUGACAAUUGAAUAGGUCUUGUUGAAAGACCAUGUGUGUCAGGAGCAAAGAAUGGAAUGAUUGUUAAGCUACUAAGGGUGUACGGUGAAUGCCCUGGCAUCAGCAGGCGAAGAAGGGCGUAGCUAGCUGCGAUAAGCCUCGGGGAGCCGCAAGCAGGCCGUGAUCCGAGGAUGUCCGAAUGGGGAAACCCGG